CUAUACAUGCAGUCGAGCGAGCUGAAUUCAAAGAUCCCUUCGGGGUGAUUUGUUGGAUGCUAGCGGCGGAUGGGUGAGUAACACGUGGGCAAUCUGCCCUAAAGACUGGGAUACCACUUGGAAACAGGUGCUAAUACCGGAUAACAACAUGAAUCGCAUGAUUCAAGUUUGAAAGGCGGCGCAAGCUGUCACUUUAGGAUGAGCCCGCGGCGCAUUAGCUAGUUGGUGGGGUAAAGGCCUACCAAGGCAAUGAUGCGUAGCCGAGUUGAGAGACUGAUCGGCCACAUUGGGACUGAGACACGGCCCAAACUCCUACGGGAGGCAGCAGUAGGGAAUCUUCCACAAUGGACGCAAGUCUGAUGGAGCAACGCCGCGUGAGUGAAGAAGGUCUUCGGAUCGUAAAGCUCUGUUGUUGGUGAAGAAGGAUAGAGGCAGUAACUGGUCUUUAUUUGACGGUAAUCAACCAGAAAG
RNAcentral lists this ribosomal RNA (471 nucleotides) under Lactobacillus delbrueckii. RNAcentral describes it as "bacterial SSU rRNA". It matches the Rfam family "Bacterial small subunit ribosomal RNA", at positions 49 to 490 of the family's 1533-position model. Lineage: Bacteria; Bacillati; Bacillota; Bacilli; Lactobacillales; Lactobacillaceae. The record is from RNAcentral.